RNAcentral lists this microRNA precursor (59 nucleotides) under Anolis carolinensis (green anole). Its description in RNAcentral is "Aca-Mir-139_pre stem-loop". It matches the Rfam family "mir-139 microRNA precursor family", at positions 7 to 65 of the family's 68-position model. Lineage: Eukaryota; Metazoa; Chordata; Lepidosauria; Squamata; Anolidae. The record is from RNAcentral.
UCUACAGUGCAUGUGUCUCCAGUGUUUUCCAGCGACUGGAGAUACGGCCCUGUUGGAAU